UGAGGUGUAGCUCAGUGGCAGGGCAUUUGCCUGGAGUGUGAAAGGUCUGGGGUUUCAUUCCCAGUGCUACAG
This 72-nucleotide transfer RNA is filed under the name Mus musculus (house mouse). It matches the Rfam family "tRNA". From Rfam's summary of the family: Transfer RNA (tRNA) molecules are approximately 80 nucleotides in length. Their secondary structure includes four short double-helical elements and three loops (D, anti-codon, and T loops). Lineage: Eukaryota; Metazoa; Chordata; Mammalia; Rodentia; Muridae. The record is from Rfam by way of RNAcentral.